CGGAGUUGUUAACUGUUCUUGAGAGUUCCCUGAUACUUUUGUAAUGAUGACGAUGCCCCUAUAUGAAUAGGAUAGAGUGAUAUCCCUGCUUUUCUUGUGACACACGGGCAGCAGCGCGGCUCUGAAUACGAACUGUACUCUCUAUGUCAAGCAGCAUAACAGGGACUUCCGGUGACUUGUGUAUAAGGUUUUUAUCAGACACAUUUAAGUUAUGUUCAGGUGAUACCGCAUCAUGCCUGACAGCAACUCUUCCACCGGUAAAGAAUGCUACUUCACCGACUCUGUGUGCCACUCGAUCCAGCGUUCUAACUUAGCGUGUUCUCAUUGACACGGGACAUGCUUUUUCCCCUACUGUAUCACAACAACGACGUUUCCUUGCCCGAGGCAAAUGACUGCAUGCGGACCAGCUGGCCACAGUCAAAUGGUUAGCUACCACCAGGCACCAGUUAUUCAAAAUUGUUGCUCUGCUCGUUUUCCAAAGUGGAUUUGAAGAGCAUGUUGUGUCACUGUAUAACUAUUUGACCGUGCCGAACAUUCUCGUGUGGCUGCCCUCGGCACUUUUCAAGUUUCGAUUCCAGCUUUUGUCACGGUUCAUCCCCCCGACUUCUGUGCGGGCUUCAGGAAAUCUGUCAGCUUCUGUUUCUUGGAACAGUUUUUUGCCAUGCCUGCCUCAGCAGGAAGGGUUCCUAUGCCUGAGGGCAAUCGCGUAUCAGUGUCGUCAAGUCUACGCACACAUGCGAUAUGGGUAAGUGGAUAGUGAGAAAGGAGCUAAACGUUCCCGUGCUGUACAACUUUCUACGUCUGACCGGGGAUAUGAGCAUGCAGAAAGAGUAAGACCAUGGGAACAAGACGCUGUCAACUAAAGCCUCGGGAACGUUCAUUGGUGUCUGUAUUCGGACCCAAGUUGCAGGUAAUGAAGGACUUAAUGCAUAUUGCGAAGCGGUUUCACUUUACGGCAAAAACUGGCUCCACGACAACUGUUCUUGGGUCCGAAUGGUGCUGCUUGGAGAGGACGCGAGUCUUGCAUUUGUGUCCAGAAUACUAGGAUAGUUGUCUAAUGGAGUGCUACAUAUAAGGUUUGCUCCGUAUUUGCCAACAAUCACGUUGUCUUUGAAUACACGGAAAAUAAACAGUUUGCCAGAAGUGUUGUUCCAGGAUUCUGUGGUGCAUGGAGCAGAGAGAUUCAGUAAAGUACGACCCUUAUGCUCCCGCUUCGGAAAGAGGAGAGAGCAAAUCGAAACUCAUCCACCUCGACGAGUUGCAGUUAAAAGCGCGUGAGCUCUUCAUGCUAGCCCGAUUGUCUGGCAGCAUUGCUCCGCGGGUCCCUGGUGCUUGUCGCAUUUGUCAUGAAGGUGCGUGCGACUACACAAGCGGCGUGCUCGAGUACGGAAACAGAUCCCAUUGAAUAGGAUGCUACGUCAGCGACAACACAAUAGGAAAAACUUUUGAUUCCUUCGAGAUUCUGGCAGGGCUCACCGUCUACCCUGUUCAGAGGGCCUAAGGCCAUCGGUGUCAUCCAGAUAAGACACUGGUAUCAGUUGAGACAGAAGAGUUCCGUUUGCUGUUCUACGAAGCUGACCACAAAGGUACUGCUCUACCACAGCAGAUGUUCUCGCACUGUGCGGCUCCUGUUCCGUUCACUAUCAGUUGGUCACCUGCCUCACCAAUGCCGCAACAUGAUAACUAUCUCGGACCGCAGCGAGGAGGCCGUAGCAACACAAGAAGCUGCCGUCAAGGUGUUGGUCGAAAACGACGAG
This 1757-nucleotide long non-coding RNA is filed under the name Toxoplasma gondii VEG. Lineage: Eukaryota; Apicomplexa; Conoidasida; Eucoccidiorida; Sarcocystidae. The record is from RNAcentral.